AACUCCGUUAUUUUGCGAGGAAUCAUAAUAACUAAUCAGAGCGUAGCAAUACGCCGCAUCAUUCAAGUUUCUACCCUAUCAGCUCUCGAUGGUAGUGUAUUGGACUACCAUGGCAAUUACGGGUAACGGGGAAUUGGGGUUCGAUUCCGGAGAAGGAGCCUGAGAAACGGCUACUAUUUCUAAGGAAGGCAGCAGGCGCGUAAAUUACCCAAUCCUGACUCAGGGAGGUAGUUAAUAGAAAUAACUUGAUCGGCUCUAUGAGUAUUGAUCGUGUAAUGAACCAAAUGUAGAAAAAUUGGUGAAUCCUAUUGGAGGGCAAGUCUGGUGCCAGCAGCCGCGGUAAUUCCAGCUCCAAUAGCGUAUAUUAAAGUUGUUGCAGUUAAAAAGCUCGUAGUUGAAUUUCCGGCAGUAUUGCCUGUCCGUAAGGGUAUCGACCACCGUCAAAAGUUUUUGAUACUUGAGCGGACUUUUACUGUGAUUAAAAUAGAGUGCUCAAAGCAGGCUUGUGCUUGAAUAUUUCAGCAUGGAAUAAUAAAAGACGACUUCAGUCAAUUUAUUGGUUAUUGGCAGAAGUAAUGAUUAACAGAAACAGUUGGGGGCAUCCGUAUUUGGUAGUCAGAGGUGAAAUUCUUAGAUUUAUCAAAGACGAACUAAUGCGAAAGCAUUUGCCAAGAAUGUUUUCAUUAAUCAAGAACGAAAGUUAGGGGAUCCAAGACGAUUAGAUACCGUCGUAGUCCUAACCAUAAACUAUACCGACUAGGGAUUGGAAGGCUACGUACCUUUCAGCACCUAAUGAGAAAUCAAAGUCUUUGGGUUCUUGGGGGAGUAUGGUCGCAAGGCUGAAACUUAAAGGAAUUGACGGAAGGGCACUACCAGGAGUGGAUUCUGCGGCUUAAUUUGAUUCAACACGGGAAAACUUACCAGGGCAACAUGUUGAGAGGAUUGACAGUUUGAUAGCGCUUUCUUGAUCCGAUAGCUAGUGGUGCAUGGCCGUUCUUAGUUGGUGGAGUGAUUUGUCAGGUUUAUUCCUUUAACGAACGAGACCUUAACCUGCUAAAUAGAAACAUCUAUAACUUAGAUGUAUUCUUCUUAGAGGGACUACCGAAAAAAACGGUGGAAGUUUGAGGCAAUAACAGGUCCGUGAUGCCCUUAAAUGUUCUGGGCCGCACGCGUAAUACACUGAUGCAAGCAAUAAGUCUACCUAACCCGAAAGGGAAUGGGUAAUCUUCAUAAACUGCAUCGUGCUUGGGAUAGAUCUUUGUAAUUGUGGAUCUUGAACGAGGAAUUCCUAGUAAGUAUGAGUCAUCAACUCAUGCUGAUUACGUCCCUGCCCUUUGUACACACCGCCCGUCACUUCUACCGAUUCGAGUGGUUCGACGAAUGACUAGGAUUGACGACUUUGUUGUUAAGAAUUUUUGUAAGUCAUAUCACUUAGAGGAAGGAAAAGGCGUAACAAGGUU
This 1460-nucleotide ribosomal RNA is filed under the name metagenome. Its description in RNAcentral is "SSU rRNA". It matches the Rfam family "Eukaryotic small subunit ribosomal RNA", at positions 229 to 1801 of the family's 1831-position model. The record is from RNAcentral.